UGGACCGCAAUGAGGUCGAUCCGGGGGAUUCAACCGGGGCCGUUGCGAUCGGGACGCGUGGGGGUUAUGCGGAGCUGUAAAGCCCGUGCCUCUGCGUGGGUCUCCGGGCGGACCGGUGCACUUUCCUCGGGUCGAUUGCCACGACCGGCUCUCCCCUAGCGGCCACAAGCCAGUUGCCGGGAAGGUGACCGUGGGCCCCCGCGCCCGCGGUGUUACAGACCGGCUCGCUGGUAGAGCUCGUGGGGGGGCCGAGGAAGUUGCCGUUUCUCGUCGCCCUCCGACCAUCCUUGCUCGUCACGACUGGGGCGAACUGUGCCAGGUCAGUGCUCUCCCGACCGCGAGCGUAGGAAGGGCCGGAGACGGCGUGAGAAUAGCUUCGGGCCGGUGGCGAAUCGGUCGGUCCUCCACCCGACCCGUCUUG
RNAcentral lists this ribosomal RNA (421 nucleotides) under Parvasolenaia triangularis. Its description in RNAcentral is "Solenaia triangularis partial 28S ribosomal RNA". The record is from RNAcentral. Lineage: Eukaryota; Metazoa; Mollusca; Bivalvia; Unionida; Unionidae.